CAUAAAACUAUUUAUCGCCUUCUUUUUCAGGAACCGUUUCAGCAGUAAAGGCACUAAAACCGUUUCAGUCAUGGCGCACGUCUCCUGGCUGCUAUCCCUCGCCCCCACAAUGCAUGCCUUUACCAAGCCACGACCGCAUGGCAUUCUCUGGCCUUAUACAGAGAAAGGCCGCAAACAAGAGGGGGGCAAAGAAAAAAGGACGCAAACGCCAGAAGAGAAGAUCAAGGGACAGAGGACGGAAAAAACAGAGAACUUAGACCGGAAAACCAGAGGAGGAGGAAGACAGAGAGAACUGGGGAGAGCAUAAGACCGAGAACAAAACACACACAGACGCGAAGGGACAAACACAGGGGAGAAAAACCAGAAAACACAGAGGAACAUAAAACAGAGGGAGACAGGGAAUCAAGGAGAACAGACAGACGAACCACACCAGCAACAAAAUCAAAAGAAAGCCAGAGAACAAGAAAGAAAAGACUAGAGGAAGGGAAAGCAGGAAGAGGCUAGUCGAUCAGCAACCGCACGGCUUCGCCUCUAGCCUCCAGGUAAGUUCUUCCUCUUCCCCACUUAGCAAAAUCAUUUCAUUUGUUACUGUGCAAAGGUAAGAUAAUUAUUUUGUUACUGUUGCAAGUUAUUCAUCCGCGUAACAGUGCGCAGCCGGGUCACUGGCUUGUAACAGUCAUCAGGCUGGGCCGGCUGAAUCCAGCCUAACUCAUACAAACUGAACUGGAUCCAUCUAAAAAGGAACAAACAGAUAAACAGCUAGGCCUGGGCUCUCGCCCAACCCUUUUUAUUUUAGUUUUAUUUUUAUUUUAAUUUUCGGCCAAACGAGUUUUAUUUUAAUAUCAAAAAAUUCUAAAAAAAUUUAUGAAUUCUUUUGAAUUUAUUUAUAAAUCCCUCGUAUUUUUUUAUGAUAUUUUACUGUAUAUUUCAUUUGUGAAUUUUACUGCAACGGUAUCCAUUCUAUGCCCACAAAAACAUCAAAUGUCAUGUGGGAGACUUGUAGUUUUGAAUGGUCAGCAACAGAUUCUUUGGUCAUCAAAUGCUUCAGCUGGAGUUAAAGACUCAAGUGCACAGCUUACGGAUGAUGGAAACCUUGUCUUGCUCGGUAAAAACAAUGGAAAUGUCAUAUGGGAGAGUUUUCAGCGGCCUUGUAAUACACUCUUGCCAAAUAUGAGACUUGGUGCUAAUGCAAGAACUGGCGAGUCGACAGUACUAACAUCAUGGAUAAGCCCUUCUGAUCCAUCCGUCGGACGCUUCUCUGUUUCCAUGGAUCCCUUAAUAAUUCCCUAAGUAUUUGUGUGGAACUAUAAGACUCCAUAUUGGUGGAGUGGUCCAUGGAAUGGUCAGAUCUUUAUUGGGAUUCCUGAGAUGAACUCUGUUUAUCUGGAUGGAUUUAAUCUUGCAAAAACUGCAGAUGGAGCCGUGUCUCUAAGUUUCACUUAUGUAAAUCAGCCUAAUAGCUAUUUUGUUUUGCGUUCCGAUGGAAAAUUGAUAGAAAGAGCCUGGAAAGUGGGAACCAGGAUUGGAAUAAAUUAUGGAAAGUGUGGAGCAUUUGGAAGCUGUAAUGCUGUGAAUUCACCAAUCUGCAGCUGUUUGAGAGGGUUUGUCUCAAAAAAUCCAGAUGAAUGGAAUAAAGGAAACUGGACAAGUGGUUGCAUUAGGAGGACACCACUAGAAUGCACAGAAACACAAAAUAUAUGAGAAGUGAACCCAAAAGAUGGGUUCUUGAAGCUUGAGAUGAUCAAAGUACCAGACUUUGCAGAGUGGUCAUCUCUGUAUUCAGAACUAGAAUGCAGAAAUGAAUGCUUAAGUAAUUGUUCCUGUAUAGCUUAUUCAUAUUACAAGGGUAUUGGCUGCAUGUUGUGGACCAGAAGCUUAAUUGAUAUACAGAAGUUUUCCUAUGGUGGGGCAGAUCGUUACCUUCGCUUAGCAUAUUCAGAACUUGAUAAAAGGAAAAGCAUGAAGAUAGUUAUCAGAAUAACAGUGAUUUUCGAACAAUUGCCUUUUCAAUCUGUGCAUUUCUUUCAUGGAGGUGCAUGGUUAAACAUGGAGGGAAAACCUUUUCAGUACUAGUUUGUUUUGGAUAUUUAGAGUUUUGCAAUUUCAAUGAUGCUUACUCUCUGAUUCUUAAUCAGAAAGGAAGAGGAAGAGCAAAAGGAACAGUGGGGGCAAAGUUAAACUCCGGGAAUUACCAGCUGUAUUCAGUUUACAUCCAUAGUAGCAGUCUAUAUUAUUAAAGAUACAAAAAAGUUACAAUACACAUACAUAUAUAUGAACACAUAUAUGAAGGAGGAUUACAUUUAUUCAACUUAACUCCCAUUAUCCCUUGCUGCACAAGGCAGCCAGGCUACUGCACUUGACAGCCCUUCUCUCUCUCUCUUCUCACAUAUUUCUCUCAAUUCUGCUUAUAAAUGGUGCUUUUAUUUAUAGGUUUUAAUAGCAGCUCCUCCUGUUCUUUUAUCAAUAAUAGUGGCCAUUUUUUAUCAA
This is a long non-coding RNA of Populus nigra (black poplar), 2487 nucleotides long. RefSeq lists it as uncharacterized. The record is from RefSeq and is a predicted model, not a curated record. Lineage: Eukaryota; Viridiplantae; Streptophyta; Magnoliopsida; Malpighiales; Salicaceae. The transcript has 2 exons.